UAUAAAUGUUACAUAAUUUUUGUUUACUUUAUAGGUGGAGGAUUACCAGUUGGUACAAUAUGUUUAAUAGAAGAGGAUAAACAUGAUAUUGCUUCAAAAACUAUCAUGAAGUACUUCUUAUCGGAAGCAGUAAUCCAAAAUCACAAAAUAUUUUUAUCUAGUGGGGGCAGAACAACAUCAAAAAAGCUACUAAAAGAAUUACCAGCUGCUAAAACUAUUGAAGUGAAACAUCAAAGCAAUGAUAAAAAGUUUGCUCCUGAUGAAGUGAUGAAAAUUGCAAUUCAAUAUCAAAACCAACCUCCUGUCCAAGAUG
Non-coding RNA from Parasteatoda tepidariorum (common house spider), 313 nucleotides. The record is from RefSeq and is a predicted model, not a curated record. NCBI's taxonomy places the organism in Eukaryota, Metazoa, Arthropoda, Arachnida, Araneae, Theridiidae.